Molecule: ribosomal RNA, 497 nt
Filed under: uncultured bacterium
Lineage: Bacteria
Description: partial 16S ribosomal RNA
Rfam family: Bacterial small subunit ribosomal RNA
Source: RNAcentral
GAUGAACGCUGGCGGCGUGCCUAAUACAUGCAAGUCGAGCGAACAGAUAAGGAGCUUGCUCCUUUGACGUUAGCGGCGGACGGGUGAGUAACACGUGGGUAACCUACCUAUAAGACUGGGAUAACUUCGGGAAACCGGAGCUAAUACCGGAUAACAUUUGGAACCGCAUGGUUCUAAAGUGAAAGAUGGUUUUGCUAUCACUUAUAGAUGGACCCGCGCCGUAUUAGCUAGUUGGUAAGGUAACGGCUUACCAAGGCAACGAUACGUAGCCGACCUGAGAGGGUGAUCGGCCACACUGGAACUGAGACACGGUCCAGACUCCUACGGGAGGCAGCAGUAGGGAAUCUUCCGCAAUGGGCGAAAGCCUGACGGAGCAACACCGCGUGAGUGAUGAAGGGUUUCGGCUCGUAAAACUCUGUUAUUAGGGAAGAACAAACGUGUAAGUAACUGUGCACGUCUUGACGGUACCUAAUCAGAAAGCCACGGCUAACUACGUG